This 107-nucleotide small nuclear RNA is filed under the name Mus spicilegus (steppe mouse). Lineage: Eukaryota; Metazoa; Chordata; Mammalia; Rodentia; Muridae. The record is from RNAcentral.
GUGCUUGUUUUGGCAGCACAUAUACUAAAAUUGGUAUGAUACAGAGAAGAUUAGCAUGGCCCCUGAUCAAGGAUGCCACGCAAAUUCGGGAAACAUUCCCUAUGUUC